RNAcentral lists this ribosomal RNA (465 nucleotides) under Vreelandella stevensii. RNAcentral describes it as "partial 16S ribosomal RNA". It matches the Rfam family "Bacterial small subunit ribosomal RNA", at positions 338 to 795 of the family's 1533-position model. Lineage: Bacteria; Pseudomonadati; Pseudomonadota; Gammaproteobacteria; Oceanospirillales; Halomonadaceae. The record is from RNAcentral.
CCUACGGGUGGCUGCAGUGGGGAAUAUUGGACAAUGGGGGGAACCCUGAUCCAGCCAUGCCGCGUGUGUGAAGAAGGCCCUCGGGUUGUAAAGCACUUUCAGUGAGGAAGAACGCCUGGUGGUUAAUACCCAUCAGGAAAGACAUCACUCACAGAAGAAGCACCGGCUAACUCCGUGCCAGCAGCCGCGGUAAUACGGAGGGUGCGAGCGUUAAUCGGAAUUACUGGGCGUAAAGCGCGCGUAGGUGGCUUGAUAAGCCGGUUGUGAAAGCCCCGGGCUCAACCUGGGAACGGCAUCCGGAACUGUCAAGCUAGAGUGAAGGAGAGGAAGGUAGAAUUCCCGGUGUAGCGGUGAAAUGCGUAGAGAUCGGGAGGAAUACCAGUGGCGAAGGCGGCCUUCUGGACUGACACUGACACUGAGGUGCGAAAGCGUGGGUAGCAAACAGGAUUAGAUACCCCUGUAGUC